AAGGUAGAUAUCUCCAGAAUCAGUGAGUGCUUCCUCCAAAUCUGAUGAGGUGUCCAGUUGGAAGGGCAGAGCAGAAAAGGCCCCGAUGACCUCUGUGUCCACUGCAGAGCCCGCUGUCCUGGCUUAUGUCCUGCGAGCAGACUUGAUCUCUGUCAUAAAGGAUCUGAAGAAGAAGCUGAAGCAAAGCAGGGCAGUGAAAAGCCACUUUUAGAACUAUGAGGACUACUUUUGUGAAAGUGGUGACUCUGUGGGCUGUAGGUGCUGUGCUAAGUCAUCCAAGGGAGAAGAGACUGGACAUGGGAUCUCCCUUUGGAAAGUCGAGUAGGUCACACCCAAUGCUGGCUUGAAUGAACAGCUAGGAAGGAGUUACUUUAUUUCUGAUACCUCACGGACAUUGUACCAUACCCACCCGCAUUUAGUUGCUUGCCUGUGGCCAGUGAGGUGACAUAACGGUCCAUCCAUCUUCAGUGAAACUGAGUCUGACCUGUUAAUAAUUGAGGAAAAGUCUCAUGCUGUAUUUCUAAUCGAAAGACUUCUCAAUAUACUGAAAUAACACAUUUUUAGUCAGCAAAAUGCCUUUUUAUUUCAAAUCACACAAUGGAAAUUUUUGUUUGUCUUGUGUCUCAGAUUUGUGUGUGUUUUUGUAAUACUCUGCCUUUCCUUUGUGUGUUUUUUUAACUCAUGCACAUGUGCUCUUUGUACAAUUUUCAAAAGUAAUAAAAACCAACAUAUCAAAAGGAUUUGUUGUGUUUCUCUCAUUUCUUAGUCUCUGUUUGACCUGCGUUGGAUUUAUGGGAAGCAGUCAAGGAGGAAUUGUAAAUACUC
Long non-coding RNA from Ochotona curzoniae (black-lipped pika), 825 nucleotides. RefSeq lists it as uncharacterized. The transcript has 3 exons. The record is from RefSeq and is a predicted model, not a curated record. Lineage: Eukaryota; Metazoa; Chordata; Mammalia; Lagomorpha; Ochotonidae.